UACGUAGGUGGCAAGCGUUGUCCGGAUUUACUGGGCGUAAAGCGCGCGCAGGCGGCAGUCUAAGUCCUCUGUGAAAUCACCCGGCUCAACUGGGUGGCUGCGGAGGAGACUGGGCAGCUUGAGGGGCCUAGAGGCCGGUGGAACUCCCGGUGUAGUGGUGAAAUGCGUAGAGAUCGGGAGGAACACCAGUGGCGAAGGCGAUCACCUGGGGUUGUUCUGACGCUGAGGAGCGAAAGCUAGGGGAGCAAACGGG
RNAcentral lists this ribosomal RNA (253 nucleotides) under uncultured bacterium. Its description in RNAcentral is "partial 16S ribosomal RNA". It matches the Rfam family "Bacterial small subunit ribosomal RNA", at positions 524 to 776 of the family's 1533-position model. The record is from RNAcentral.